GCUGGGCGCAGUGGCACGUGCCUGUAGUCGCAGCUACUUGGGAGGCUGAGACUGGAGGAUCUCUGAGUACAGGGGUUCUGGGCUAUAGUACGCUAUGCUGAUUGGGUGUCUGCACUAAGUUCAGCAUCAGUCUGGUGACCUCCCGGGAGCGGGGAACCGUCAGGUUGCCUAAGGAGGGGUGAACCGGCCCAGGUCGUAAGCGGAGCAGGUCAAAACUCCCGUGCUGAUCAGCAGUGGGACUGCGCCUGUGAAUAGCCACUGUACUCCUGCCUGGGCAACAUAGUGAGACCCCGUCUCUU
Unclassified non-coding RNA from Callithrix jacchus (white-tufted-ear marmoset), 299 nucleotides. It matches the Rfam family "Metazoan signal recognition particle RNA". Rfam says of the family: The signal recognition particle (SRP) is a universally conserved ribonucleoprotein. It is involved in the co-translational targeting of proteins to membranes. The eukaryotic SRP consists of a 300-nucleotide 7S RNA and six proteins: SRPs 72, 68, 54, 19, 14, and 9. Lineage: Eukaryota; Metazoa; Chordata; Mammalia; Primates; Cebidae. The record is from Ensembl.